This 65-nucleotide transfer RNA is filed under the name Trigonopterus sp. 1 AH-2016. RNAcentral describes it as "tRNA-Val". The record is from RNAcentral. Lineage: Eukaryota; Metazoa; Arthropoda; Insecta; Coleoptera; Curculionidae.
CUAGCUAAAGCUUUGUAAGUAUUUUAUUUACAUUAAAAAGAUUAUUAAAUAUUAAUAUAGCUUGA